Ornithodoros turicata is the source of this 500-nucleotide long non-coding RNA. RefSeq lists it as uncharacterized. The transcript is spliced from 3 exons. The record is from RefSeq and is a predicted model, not a curated record. NCBI's taxonomy places the organism in Eukaryota, Metazoa, Arthropoda, Arachnida, Ixodida, Argasidae.
ACCAGAUGCGUCUGAUGACAGAAGUCAAGAAUCUGAGGGCACUCUUGUCCUCCACAACAUCAUUGCACCAGGUUAGGAUACCGGAUGACUGCCCAUCACUUCCUGCAACGACAGCUGAGGAGGUCAUCCAGCUAGACACCUACAUAUUACAAGAGGGAAAUUUUGAAAAGAUGGUCGCCUACUUCACAAAAUUCGGGGGAACUGAUAUCCAAGACAAUGUCCGUACCAUACUACGACACCUGAUGACAAAGAGCGCAGCCCUUGCAUUCAGGUGGAAGGGAUCCCGUGGACUCAAAGAGCCCUUUGAGAAGCUGGAAAGUGUGAUCAAGAUGAUAAUGAGUAUGAACAUUUAGAUUGCAUAUUUGUUAUGGGUCGAAGGGCUGUCUCAAAACUCACUACCGAACAGCGACGCUAAGAGAUGUGACUGCUGUGAUAAAGAAGUGGCUGGUUGGCGCCCAAGACAGGGAAGGUGGUAGAAAUCAGCGACGAACGUUCAAAGG